CUGUUUUGAAACCCCUUUAACAAUGAAGUUACUCGUCUCUGGCUAGAUCUUCUGAUGUGUGGCAUUUUUCCAGAAUUCCUCGAGGUAAAUGAAGCACAGACACCGACAUUGUAGGCCCUCGCCCACUGCUCUAUAAACUUAAUUCAGCUUUAACUCAUGAACAGGAAAUUAGAUACAAGAGAAAGAUGCCGGUUCAUGAUUUCUCAGCAUUCCAGUCUAUACAGUAAGGGAAUACAGACUGCAUAUUCCAGACGUGAACCAAGAUCAAUCCUGGUUGUAUACCAUCAGAGGGAUUGUGUACCUAGCAUAACACAGGU
Hyla sarda is the source of this 317-nucleotide long non-coding RNA. RefSeq lists it as uncharacterized. NCBI's taxonomy places the organism in Eukaryota, Metazoa, Chordata, Amphibia, Anura, Hylidae. The transcript has 3 exons. The record is from RefSeq and is a predicted model, not a curated record.